CUUACAUGGGAAAACCACGCUGGACCACUGCUCUCUGGUUUCCAAGAGAAAACAUUAAAACCAGGACUUGUAUACCGGCCACAAAAUAGGUACUCUCAAAAUAUCUGCAACCAGAUGGACUGCGUUUAAUAUGCACACAGCCUGUAAAAUAGUCAUCAUUAU
Molecule: long non-coding RNA, 162 nt
Filed under: Cavia porcellus (domestic guinea pig)
Lineage: Eukaryota; Metazoa; Chordata; Mammalia; Rodentia; Caviidae
Description: lncRNA (ENSCPOG00000033112.1)
Source: RNAcentral